UACGUAGGGCGCGAGCGUUGUCCGGAAUUAUUGGGCGUAAAGAGCUCGUAGGCGGCCAGUUGCGUCUGCUGUGAAAUCCCGGGGCUCAACCCCGGGCUUGCAGUGGAUACGGGCUGGCUGGAGGCAGGCAGGGGAGAACGGAAUUCCCGGUGUAGCGGUGAAAUGCGCAGAUAUCGGGAGGAACACCGGUGGCGAAGGCGGUUCUCUGGGCCUGUACUGACGCUGAGGAGCGAAAGCGUGGGGAGCGAACAGG
This 253-nucleotide ribosomal RNA is filed under the name uncultured bacterium. RNAcentral describes it as "partial 16S ribosomal RNA". It matches the Rfam family "Bacterial small subunit ribosomal RNA", at positions 524 to 776 of the family's 1533-position model. The record is from RNAcentral.